This 3302-nucleotide long non-coding RNA is filed under the name Sorghum bicolor (sorghum). RNAcentral describes it as "long non-coding RNA (SBIC_LNC010672)". The record is from RNAcentral. Lineage: Eukaryota; Viridiplantae; Streptophyta; Magnoliopsida; Poales; Poaceae.
CAUCUUGCUACUAUCUAGAUCUACUCUAGUUUAGAGAAGAGAGGAGAGCUCUCAUCUCUAAACCCUAGCUUUGGCUCUGUCUAUGAAUAAUGAAUAAUGAUCAAGGGGGUGCCUCCUCCAGGGGCCAGGGGGUCUGGUUAUAUAGUCCCCUCAAGUGAACCUGGGCCGUCGGAUGAAACCGACAUUGAUUGAACAGUUAUUCUUGAUCCUUUAUGUCGGUGGAGCAUAAUCCGCGAGGUUGAACGUGAUUGGCCACUGUAGCAGGGCGGGCGCCCUAAGGACUUGGGUGGGCGCCCAGGUCCUGGCUCCGUUCGGCCUCCGCUUCCUUCCCGUGGCUUCUAGAGUCUUCUAGAUGUAAAAUAAUUGCGCGGCACGUUGAUAUCUCUAUGUAAUCCCGACGUGUGGGCCUUUCUUCCGUAUUUCCUGAUAACCCCCUGCAGAAAUAGACAAACACCAAAACUCGUGGAAUUCUGUCAGAUAAAACCCUAAGUUUAGAUGUUGAUUUCAUUUGGAUCCUUUUCUUUGUUUAUUUGAUAAUUAAAUUUGAUACUUAAGGACCGUCAACAAACUCCCCCAAGCUUACCUCUUGCUCGUCCCUGAGCAAGGAUAGACUCAGCAAUGGAUCAAAAGUUGUUGCAAUAUCUUAAAAAUUUGACGGUACACAUGCUUUUAAAUAAAAUCUCAUCUCUGAGUUAGAGUAAACUGUCAAGAACUAAAACUUACUUACUUUACCUUUCACCAUGGGACUGUAACUGUCUUGAGUAGUUAAAAGAUAGAACAGUCUAGCCAAGUGCCAUGUCUCUUAUUCUUGAUCAGCUAUAGCUCUGGAGUUUUUGCAGAUUUUCAAAUAAAACUCAGAGAUUCCUUAUAUGAUUCUCUCAAAUCUCUCUUUUGUGGUAUUUCUGGAUCCUUACAAGGCAGUAAUGGUAUAUGCAUUCUCUCAAAGUAUGUAGUAUUUGUGGUAUGAGGCAUAGUGAUAUUGCCUUCUCUCUCACCCUACUCUAAUAAGUCUUUAAUAUCUGGAGCUCAUAGGUGGGAGACAGCUAAUACAUACUUACAAGACAUUUAUUGUAUAGUCAAACCAUGGAUCCAAAGAAACAAAUCAAUAAGCCAAAUCAAGAUGUGCAUGUGUGGCGAAUGAAUGGUGUAUGGUGAUGAUGGUGAUAACAAUGGUGAAAGUCUAAUUCUACUUUUGCUCUUUUGAGGGGAUACAUACCUUCCUUGCUUUUUGAAACUUUAUGAGGAGAAUGAGAUGCUCUAUCUUUCAUUUUUUUCUCUCAGGUGGGUAUCUUGUACCCCUAAUUCUACUGUCGGACACUUGUCCAUUUUUACCUCUCGUCUCACUUUUUCUUUCUUUCGAGGUUCCGGGCACUUGCCCCUUUUUAUUUCCUCGUAUAUUUUUUUUCUUCUUUUCUUCUCUUUUCUUUUUUUUUCAGAGCACUCAUCUCUUGAGAUAAUAUAGCAAGUGGUAGUAGCAAGAUAACUUGAGCAUUUAUUUCACAAGGGAAAACAGAAAUAUUUUUGGCUAUUCUCUUCUGGAUUAGGAGUAGAAUAUUUUUGGGUGGUUCUGGAGAUGGAUAUAUGUGGAUGGUACUUCUGGAGUAGAAGUAGCAUAUAUGAGUGAAUGUACAAGUGAAAUCUUGAUUUAACCACAUGACAAGCUCCUAAGGGUCUACACAGCUUGACCACACUCAAUGCUCAUAAGCAGUAAAUAGUAAAUGUGUGGCUCAAAGUCUAGCAAGCAUGUAUAUAUGGCUGUGGUAGGAAUUUAAACUUUCAUCAUACAGGAACUCAUCAUGUAAUAUUUUAAAGAUUUUUCAAAGAUAAAAUUCUCCAGAAUUCUAGCAUCUCUAGGAACAGAUAAACAGCAGCUCAGCCUUCCCAUAUCAUAUCCGUUAACAACUUAGAUUUCAGAUCAAGGUUUCAUCCCACAAGUUUAGAUCUAGAGCAAGCUUUAAAUUAUAACAGUUAUGUCUAAACUUGAGAGAGAACUUCAAAUUUGCAAAUUAGGCAGAGCAACUAUUCAUCAUAUCUAUGCUAGAGUUUUAUUUAGAUACAGAUUAGCAUAGCCAUUUUAUUUUUUUAUUAGACACACUAAGCAAAAGACAUAUAUAUAUAUAAGCAUAAAAUAUUUAUUUGGUUUUCGAUAGUUAUAUUUUAAUAUAGUAUAAGUAUAAAGAUAGAUAGAUAGAAAUACUUAUCGGGAUAAAUGGGGGUGCUCUCCCCCAAGCUGAAUUUUGACGUAAUUUUCCUUGAUGUAGCUAGCAGGUGGCAGAGGUGUAUUUGAGAGUCAGCAGCAUUCUGACAGCGAUUAGAAUGUCCUCCGUCUGCUAGUCUUCUUGAUUCUUAAAUCCUGUGGAGCUCAAAUAGACAACAAAGCUUGUGGAACUGAUUAAGUAUUAGCAUAAAUAUCUAGCCUUCAUCAUGUUAAGCUUCCUCAAUAAAUAUUACUCCCUAUUUUUAUAUUUUUAUUUUAUAAAGUAGAAAAGAAAUAUUUAUUUUAUUUUUAUGCCACCAUAGUGAAGGUACUUAUGGGUUUUAUGCCACUCGUAUACUCACAUGGGGCUUAGUAUUUUUUAACAUUUUUUUCUUUUCAAGAUAGCAUAAUUAACUAAUAAUCUAUUUAAGGAAAGUAAAUAAUUAAAGGAAAAAGGGAAUGCAAAAAGGAUAAAUAUGGAUAACUACCGAUCUUACCUUUCGGCGAGGGUUCAAUGUUUUAAGUCUUCUUAACAAGACUUCUCACCGUGUUCAUUUUUUAGGUGCGUCAUUUGAUUCAGGUGCGGACCUUGACGUCUGCACCUCUUCGUUUGCCCAGCAGUUCUGUAACGUCCCGCCUCCACGAGGCCGGGCCCGCUUACAUCUGGCAGCUUUCUAGGACAAAGUCAGUCCCCACAGACCAACACUAGUCUUUUCUGCACACUUUGUCCUCACUCGUGCGCACCCGGGAACUACUUCCCGGUCGGUCACCCAUUCCUAAAUUGCUCUAGGCCAAGCACGCUUAACUUUAGAGUUCUUUCGAGAUAGGCUCCCAGAAAAGAAGUUGCAACUUGUUGGUAUGAGUCUCCUAUUAAUCCUAUUAAGCCCUGGGCCGGGUGUUACAUCCUCACCUCCUUAAGAGAUCGACGUCCUCGUCGAUCAACCCCAAGCCAGGAACGUCCCCUCUUGGCCACGUCCGUGCAUCCAGUGCCAGCGCAUAUGCCAUGCUGUGUGACCACUCCGGAUCCACACCAGCCAUGCACACCAUGCCUGCGCAACUGCGACACACGCGCCCGUGAAACCGCGAGGGUCGGCUCUGAUACCAG